Non-coding RNA from Pelobates cultripes (western spadefoot toad), 230 nucleotides. NCBI's taxonomy places the organism in Eukaryota, Metazoa, Chordata, Amphibia, Anura, Pelobatidae. The record is from the annotation of a GenBank genome assembly.
CUUCAGGGCAGAGGGGAGGAAAUCAUAAUGCAUGCUGGGAAUAUUCUGUGUCUGUGGGUCCUAACCUGCCAUAUGUCUGUCUAUUGUUACAGUCUCCCAUUUGGUCCCCUAGUGGAGUGUCCACCAAGUGGGAGACCUGCAUAAAUACGGGCAGGUAGCCCACAGUAAAGCCAGUUCAUGUUUUACCCUCAAUGCGGAGCUUGGUCUCGUUAUUGGGGGGAUUUAUUACC